RNAcentral lists this ribosomal RNA (276 nucleotides) under Enterobacter asburiae. RNAcentral describes it as "partial 16S ribosomal RNA". It matches the Rfam family "Bacterial small subunit ribosomal RNA", at positions 224 to 492 of the family's 1533-position model. Lineage: Bacteria; Pseudomonadati; Pseudomonadota; Gammaproteobacteria; Enterobacterales; Enterobacteriaceae. The record is from RNAcentral.
GAUGUGCCCAGAUGGGAUUAGCUAGUAGGUGGGGUAACGGCUCACCUAGGCGACGAUCCCUAGCUGGUCUGAGAGGAUGACCAGCCACACUGGAACUGAGACACGGUCCAGACUCCUACGGGAGGCAGCAGUGGGGAAUAUUGCACAAUGGGCGCAAGCCUGAUGCAGCCAUGCCGCGUGUAUGAAGAAGGCCUUCGGGUUGUAAAGUACUUUCAGCGAGGAGGAAGGCGUUAAGGUUAAUAACCUUAGUGAUUGACGUUACUCGCAGAAGAAGCA